GACGAACGCUGGCGGCGUGCUUAACACAUGCAAGUCGAACGGAAAGGCUCCUUCGGGGGUACUCGAGUGGCGAACGGGUGAGUAACACGUGGGUGAUCUGCCCUGCACUUCGGGAUAAGCUUGGGAAACUGGGUCUAAUACCGGAUAGGACUCCAAGAUGCAUGUUUUGGGGUGGAAAGUUUUUAACGGUGUGGGAUGGGCCCGCGGCCUAUCAGCUUGUUGGUGGGGUGAUGGCCUACCAAGGCGACGACGGGUAGCCGGCCUGAGAGGGUGUCCGGCCACACUGGGACUGAGAUACGGCCCAGACUCCUACGGGAGGCAGCAGUGGGGAAUAUUGCACAAUGGGCGCAAGCCUGAUGCAGCGACGCCGCGUGGGGGAUGACGGCCUUCGGGUUGUAAACCUCUUUCACCAUCGACGAAGCUGCCCUUUGUGGGGUGGUGACGGUAGGUGGAGAAGAAGCACCGGCCAACUACGUGCCAGCCGCCGCCGUAACAC
This 496-nucleotide ribosomal RNA is filed under the name uncultured bacterium. RNAcentral describes it as "bacterial SSU rRNA". It matches the Rfam family "Bacterial small subunit ribosomal RNA", at positions 28 to 526 of the family's 1533-position model. The record is from RNAcentral.